ACACACACACACACACACAAACACUACUUUUUCUCCAACCCUGUCAUUUAUAAAUAGUUCAGAUUUAAAAGAAUACAACCAGCAAGGCAACCAAGCAACUGGAAGCCAAAGAAGGUGGAACUAGGUCAUGAUCACGUAGAGGGAGGUAUAAAGAAACUACCGGCUCAAGCACAAGCUCAUUCAUACACACUCACAGAGACACCCGACCAAACACACACAACAUGCAACUCUGGCAGACUCUGGUUUUAUUUUAUUUUCUUUUUGGCAUGACUCAGGGUUCCUCUCAGCUUGUCUACGUGGAACCUGUUGAGAAUCCUACGUAUGACCAGGAGUAUCGAUGUAAAACAGAUCCGGAGGUGGAAAACACAGAAUACAGCUGGCGCAGGCAGGACUCGUCUGGACUUCCAGAAGGAGUGAAAGCAGAGGGAGAUAGACUGCAUUUUCUAAGGUUGGAUUCUGACCUCAAUGGUGUAUACAUCUGCGAGGUAAAGAACCAGAAAGGUUCUGCAGCAGGCUCACUCUUUCGAUACCAAGAAGGAAACCAUCCAGACCUGUAAUAGGGAACCCUUGAAACAGCUUCCUGGAAGAAUGAAAAAAAAACUCAUAAUAAAGAAGACUCAGGAUGAAGCCUGUUUUAUUUUAAAUUUCUUAUUUCUGUUUUUAGAUUUUAUAUUUCUUAUAUUUUUGUAUGUUAUAAUUGUCUAUUGCACACAUACCUUGCCCAGGUAAGAUCCAUAAUUAUGUACCAUGAAUUUUUUUUAUACCCCUUGAACUCCAAAUUUUAUAGCAUUAUAACCUAUAAUGAAAUCAAUCUCGUUGGGAUUUAAACAAUAUUUCUAACAUGUGAAGGUGCAUAAAAUUUCUUUUAAUAGUUACACUUAGGUUAAAAAAAUUGAUGAAGUCUUGCCACAUAUUCUCAGGUGGAUUGAAGUCUGAGCUUUGACUAGGCCAUUAUAGCACAUUCAGGUUAUUUGUUUUGAUCCACUCAAGCGUAGCAUUGUCAGUAUGUCUAGGGUCAUUGUCCUAUUGGAAAUUGAAUAUCUGCACCAGUCUCAAGUAUCUUGCAGACUGGAACCCUGCCCAGUUUCCCAGUCGAAUAGCUCUUUGUGCCAAGGCCAAAAAUUUUAAUUUUGGUCUCAUCUGAGCAAAGAACUCUUUUACACAUGUUUGCUGAGUCUCUAGCAUGCCUUUUGGCAAACUCUAAAUGGGAUUUCAUAUGGUGCUUUUUCAAUAAUGGCUUUUUUCACCACUCUUCCAUAAAGUCCAUCUUUGUGGAUUGUCCUCCUCAUUGUGAUUGGGCCAUAUUGUUUCCAGUUUUUAAUAAUGGAUUUAAUGGUGCUUCAUGGGAUGUUCAAACUUUGCCUCUUGACCUCCCUCCCACAACCCCAACAGAUAUUCUCCAUUCAGCUAAUUAUAUGACUUGUGGUGACUACUGGUUAACCCAGAACUAAUUAGGGGUCUUACAAUCUUACAACAGGAUACUUAUGAAAACAUAUUUAUUUGUUAAUACUUUUGCAAUAUUAUGGGCUAUUUUAUGUAAAUUACAUUAAAUCCCUUAAAGUACUGUAUCUAGUUAAUUGAAUGUCAUUUAUUUUUUAGGUGAAAUAGGGUAGGUACUUGUAUGCAGCUUGUCAUAUCAGUAAGACACCAAGCGUAUUUGAACCAUAUGUUUCUACUCAGGUGGUGUCAUGUGAUUUCACAGAAAGACUGCAGACUGUACUUGUGUGGUAUGCUAUGUAGGAUGUACUACAACUCAUCUGCCACUGAGAUGUAGUAGGAAGUAUCUCCUAUAGGGCAGACAUGAAGUCAGAAUGUAUGAAGGCUGGGGACAGCGUAUAUGUAGCAUACUCUUGCUAUAGGGCAAGCGUAUGCUUCUGGGGCAGUAGGAGCUCAGUGCUUAAGGUAUUAGGCUACUUCUUGGAAGGUAAUAAAUCCCAGCACUUCCAAGCUGCCACGGGUAGGUCCUUGAAUAAGACCCUUAACUGCACAAUUGUAUCCGGUCUCAACUGUAAAUCACUUUGGAUUAAAGCAUUAGCCAAAUGAGCCAAAUGACCUUUUUAUGAUAUCACAAUAUCACUGAAAAUGAAGGAAAAAAAAACGAAAAUUUGUUUCCCUUGAUCUUCAGAAAAUUUUAAUGACCAACUUCCUGUUGAAAAUGUGAAAAGACACUGUGAAUAAAGAUGUGCAAUUUUAA
Pangasianodon hypophthalmus (striped catfish) is the source of this 2194-nucleotide long non-coding RNA. RefSeq lists it as uncharacterized. The record is from RefSeq and is a predicted model, not a curated record. NCBI's taxonomy places the organism in Eukaryota, Metazoa, Chordata, Actinopteri, Siluriformes, Pangasiidae. The transcript is spliced from 4 exons.